This 311-nucleotide ribosomal RNA is filed under the name beta proteobacterium AZ(2010). RNAcentral's name for it is "bacterial SSU rRNA". It matches the Rfam family "Bacterial small subunit ribosomal RNA", at positions 202 to 505 of the family's 1533-position model. The record is from RNAcentral. Lineage: Bacteria; Pseudomonadati; Pseudomonadota; Betaproteobacteria.
AUCGCAAGACCUCGCGCGAUUGGAGCGGCCGAUAUCAGAUUAGGUAGUUGGUGGGGUAAAGGCCCACCAAGCCAACGAUCUGUAGCUGGUCUGAGAGGACGACCAGCCACACUGGAACUGAGACACGGUCCAGACUCCUACGGGAGGCAGCAGUGGGGAAUUUUGGACAAUGGGCGCAAGCCUGAUCCAGCAAUGCCGCGUGCAGGAUGAAGGCCUUCGGGUUGUAAACUGCUUUUGUACGGAACGAAAAGGCUCUGGUUAAUACCUGGGGCUCAUGACGGUACCGUAAGAAUAAGCACCGGCUAACUACG